RNAcentral lists this ribosomal RNA (1975 nucleotides) under human oral metagenome. RNAcentral describes it as "bacterial LSU rRNA". It matches the Rfam family "Bacterial large subunit ribosomal RNA", at positions 438 to 2323 of the family's 2925-position model. The record is from RNAcentral.
UUGAAUCCGGCUGGACCACCAGCCAAGGCUAAAUAUAAUAUACGAUCGAUAGUGAACUAGUACAGCGAUGGAAAGGUGAAAAGAACCCCGGGAGGGGAGUGAAAUAGAACCUGAAAUUGUGUGCCUACAAGGAGUCGGAGCAGUGCUUGCACUGUGACGGCGUGCUUUUUGUAGAACGAUCCAGCGAGUUAAUUUCAUGCGCCAGGUUAAGUCAAGUGACGGAGCCACAGUGAAAGCGAGCCUGAAUAGGGCGAUAAGUGUAUGGGAUUAGACCCGAAACCGGGUGACCUAACCAUGAGCAGGUUGAAGCUGCGGUAACACGCAGUGAAGGACCGAACCAGUUUGCGCAGUAAAGCAUUUGGAUGACUUGUGGUUAGCGGUGAAAUGCCAAUCGAACUCGGAGAUAGCUGGUUCUCCUCGAAAUAGCUUUAGGGCUAGCGUCAUGUAAUAUAGCCAACGGGGGUAGAGCUCUGUAAACGACUGGGGCGGGCAACUGUACCCACCGUUAACAAACUACGAAUACCGUUGGUGGUACCAUGGCAGUUAGAACAUCGGGGCUAAGCUCGGUGCUCAAAAGGGAAACAGCCCAGACCAUCAUCUAAGGUCCCUAAAUUAACACUAAGUGGGAAACAAGGUGAAAUUUCUUAAACAGCGAGGAUGUUGGCUUAGAAGCAGCCAUUCAUUUAAAGAGUGCGUAACAGCUCACUCGUCAAGAGAUUUUGCGUGGAAAAUGUAACGGGGCUAAAGUGUUAUACCGAAGAUAUGGAUUUCGUUAUUCCUACGGGUUUAACGGAGUGGUAGAGGAGCGUUCCUAUCGGCAGUGAAGCUCAAUCGUAAGGUUGGGUGGAGCGUUAGGAAGUGAGAAUGCUGGAAUGAGUAACCAUAAGAAAGGUGAGAAUCCUUUCGGCCGUAAGAGCGAGGUUUCCAGGGCUACUGUAAUAAUCCCUGGGUUAGUCGGGCCUAAGCCGAGGCGUAGCAGCGUAGGCGAUGGACAUCAGGUUAAUAUUCCUGAACCGGUUAUAAUUUGUAUACUGUGUACGGUAAAUUAGUCGAAGCGGAUUAUUGGUAUAUAUCCGUCCAACUUAGCGGGAACGCAAAAGGAGUGAAAGUUAAUCUACGGAUUAACGAUUUUGAUGAAAGUACUGGCUAGAAAAGCAGAUAUACGCGUGGUUAUAGCCGCCCGUACCGCAAACCAACACAGGUGCUCGAGUCGAGUAGACUCAGGCUUACGAGAGACCCUUCGCUAAGGAACUCGGCAAAACAGCGACCGUAACUUCGGGAUAAGGUCUGCCUCCGCAUCAUUCGAUGCGAGUCGUGUUUCAAGCAAUUAGGUUAAGAUUAAUGGUAUAUAUGAGUAUCUUAAACUUCUUUACCGAGAUAGAACAAGUCAAAUGGCUUAGCUUGGAACGUGGCAAACUCGUAUCAAACGAUGCGGAGGCCGCAGCAAAAGAGCCCACGGAACUGUUUACCAAAAACACAGGUCUCUGCGAACACGAAAGUGGAUGUAUAGGGGCUGACUCCUGCCCAGUGCUGGAAGGUUAAGGGGAGUGCUUUACGGUGCGAACUGAAGCCCCAGUGAACGGCGGCGGUAACUAUAACCGUCCUAAGGUAGCGAAAUUCCUUGUCAGGUAAGUUCUGACCCGCACGAAUGGAGUAAUCAUGUGGGCACUGUCUCGGCGAAGGACUCGGUGAAAGUGCAUUGGCGGUAAAGAUGCCGUCUGUCCAUGCCAGGACGAGAAGACCCCAUGGAGCUUUACUACAGCUUUACAUUGACACGGGUUACAUCAUGUGUAGCAUAGGUGGGAGGCUUUGAAACAGAUACGCCAGUAUUUGUGGAGCCACAGGUGAAAUACCACCCUUGAUGUAGUCUUUGUCUUACCAUUGCCGUUAUCCGGUAAUGGGACCGUGUAUGGUGGGUAGUUUAACUGGGGCGGUUGCCUCCUAAAGAGUAGCGGAGGCGUUCAAAGGUUGGCUA